Solanum dulcamara is the source of this 607-nucleotide long non-coding RNA. RefSeq lists it as uncharacterized. NCBI's taxonomy places the organism in Eukaryota, Viridiplantae, Streptophyta, Magnoliopsida, Solanales, Solanaceae. The transcript has 3 exons. The record is from RefSeq and is a predicted model, not a curated record.
AUAUACAAAACAAAUAGCAAAAUUGGAGACUCUCACUAUCUUCAGAUAGCAGGGUCUAGGGCCUUCUUUCCAAAUCCUUUGUCCAAUCUCCAACCCAGCACAUUAAUGGCGGAAUCUUCGCCAAAGAAUCCUCUGCAGCUGAUGAGAGUUGAGUGCACCAGUGAAUCACCUUAGGUACGGGGAAGAAUAGUGUUGAGCAUGGAUAGAUUACACCAAGACGCUACAGAUCUCACUAACGCCAUGUAUUCUUGUCCAUUAAAGAUUCUUCAACUCAACAAAUCUUGGCCCUGUUCCUAUAUGAAAUGGUUGAGUUCCAAGGAACUGAUACCACUAUCUAAAAAGUGCCUAGUACGAGCCAUCCUCGCUGAUUUCUAAUGGUUCAAGGCCGUCACUGUUUAGAUCAUGGAAGUUCUUGGCAUUUGGAGACUUGUUGCUUUCUUUUUAUUUUUGAUGUCUAUAUUUUAUAUUUUGUAAGACAAACUUCUUGUAUAUAGAUAUAUACAUGUACUUUAGACUUUUUUAUUGGUGACACUAGAUUCGGAAUUGGCAUCUAUAUAUUGUCUUUCUUAUCACUUUCGGACCCUUACAGCAUAUUUUAUACCAUUUU